This 309-nucleotide ribosomal RNA is filed under the name uncultured eukaryote. Its description in RNAcentral is "partial 18S ribosomal RNA". It matches the Rfam family "Eukaryotic small subunit ribosomal RNA", at positions 1470 to 1796 of the family's 1831-position model. The record is from RNAcentral.
CCCUUAGAUGUUCUGGGCGGCCCGCGCACUACAAUGGCGUGUGCAGCGAGUGCCGAAGUAGAGUUUUCCGAGGUAUUCUUGCAAUGCUCGUUUUGAUGGGGAUAGACCCUUGCAACUGUUGGUUUUGAACGAGGAAUUCCUUGUAAGCAUGGUUUAUCAUCCGACGCUGAAUGCGUCCCUGCCCUUUGUACACACCGCCCGUCGCUCCUACCGAUGAGUCGUCCGGUGAAGUUCGUAGACCUCGUGAUUGCGGAUCACUGGGGGAAGCAAAAUGAACCUCGCGGUUUAGAGGAAGGAGAAGGCGUAACA